This is a long non-coding RNA of Camelus dromedarius (Arabian camel), 1645 nucleotides long. RefSeq lists it as uncharacterized. NCBI's taxonomy places the organism in Eukaryota, Metazoa, Chordata, Mammalia, Artiodactyla, Camelidae. The transcript is spliced from 4 exons. The record is from RefSeq and is a predicted model, not a curated record.
UAUUCAUAUUUUUACAUUGUUUAAAUAAAUGUAGGUUUUUGUAAGGGAGGUAAAUGGUUAAUAUUUUAGCAUAAGCCUUUUCUAAACACCAUAAACUCUUCUAAAUAUCAUUUUUGAUGACUGUGUUAUUCUCUGAAGUAGAGUCUCUGAAGUAGUGAAUUAGCACUGACUUCUGUGAGCUUCAUUUUCAGAAAUUCCAGUUGCUUGCUAAACAUCCCCAAGCUCGAUUUCCCACAGGUAUCCCAGGCUUAACAUCUUUAUAACUUAGGUCAUUUUCUUUUUCUGUCCCAACGUGCUCUUCCUGUUGUAUUCCCCAAAGCAAUUAGUAUUGCCUAGUCACCCAGGCAAGAAACAUAGGGGCCAUUCCACACUGCUCCCUCUUCAUCUUUCCUAUUAGUCAUCAGUCACCAACUUUUGCUAAAUAGCUACUGUUUCUCUAAUCUAUCUCUCUUCCCCAUUGCUACUGUCACCCUAGUAGUUCAGGCCCUCAUCAUUUCUCCUGUAAACUGUGCAGUAGCCUCCUAGCUGAUCUCCAUUCCUCCAGCUUGGACAUCUUAAAUCCUUUUCCUUCACUACUGCCAAUGCAAUCUACCUAAAACAAAAAUGUUCAUGAUACUACCCUCCUUAAAACCCUUCAGCGUGGUCAUACUUUCUGCAUGGUAUAGAGAACCCUCCAGAUGCAGAUCUUUCUCUACUUCUUUGAUUUCUCUUGCCAUUACCUGCUGGCAUUUGUUAUUCUAGUAAUAGAGGAAUGCUUGUAGUCCCCCAUACUGUUCAUUGCUUCCAUAUCUUUGCUUUUCAUGAUUUUGAUUUCUCUGUCUGGAUUGCCCUCAUCACUUUUUUCCACCUGGCUAAUUCUUAAUUGUCCUUCUAUCUUAAUUCAGGCAUCAUCUCCUCAGGAAAUCUACCCUGAAGGUCUAGGUUGGGCUAAAUGUCUCUUCUUUAUGCUCUACAUAGUGAUUAUCUCUGUCUUUUCGGUUAAAACAUCUUUUAAAACACUUUAAAUCUAUUUACUUUAUAUAUAAUGACUUAAAAUUUUAAUAUCAGCAGUCUGAGCAUGUCUUAUUUUUCAAUUUGCAGUCUUUCAAGAUUCUUGGUUAUGGAGGUCUGUUUCCUUGUAUGUUUGAUAUAUGUUUGUAGGAGCUCACAUUUGGUUAAACCUUAACUUUGUGAAUCCUGAAGGGACUGGAUUGAGAUGAUUUGUCUUGGUUUUUCCUAGGUGCUAAAAGAUUCUACCAACCUGGAACUGUUGUUUCUGCUUAUUUCUUGGAUUGAGAUUUCUCAGACUGUAUCUCUGGAUCAAGAGUUUCCUUUGUGAUUGAACUGAUCUGGAGAGCAAUGCUGAAAUGCUGCAGUCUAAGCUCUAUACCCAGAGGACAAAUUCCUAUCGAAUGGAAAGUUCAUGUACCUGUUGGUCUGAGAUUGUUUACCCUUUUUGCAUCAGUGCAGAGGGAAGAAGAGGAACAGAGAGGGAGCAUUUGGUAGGUAUACAUUUUGGAAAUCCUGGGAAUCUGGGCUUAGAGGAAGGAAGGAAUCAGCUUCAUCUUAUAUUGAGGACCCGCCUGGGCUUCUCAAAGGUGAGCAAGGCUCAGGAGGGAGGUUGACAGUGGCAUUACACAUCCGCCCCAUCACAGUUUUAUUGUUU